ACAUGACCACACAUCUGCAAUCUGGUAUUGCAGUACAAAAUUAAAAUAGCAACUUGUUUUCAUAUUAAAUAUUAGAAUUCUGAAGAACAUUUAUCAUGGUGUGGGUAUGUCUACAUGCAAUCCAAAAUUACAUAUUGCUUAGACUAAGAAGACAGAUACGAGAAACCAAUGCAGUUUCACAACCACAUGCACAAAAAUAUAUAUAUAAUGCUUAGCACAGUAAAAUCUAUCAACAUCUAACUAUUAAAAAAAAAGGCAACAGGCAUGAAAUGAGAAAGAAUCAUCAAAUUCUAAAACGCAGAAGGAUUCCUGUUGGCUGCCACACCUGCCAGAACUGUGAAGGCAUAAUAUAAAUAUGCAACGCAAAAUGGUCUAAGGAUCGAAACCUUUAAUUGCCCCAUGCAUGCACACAUGCACGUGUGCACGCAAGUUAGGUUACACAUUCCAUCUCUAAUUCCUAGAAGAAGAAAAGAUCUCGUCUCUAAAGUAAUAUGAAUGAUACUUCAAUAUUGUGAUUAAAUAUAUCACUAUGAACAGGCAAGCAAACUGGUAGCAUCCAUUUUGCACCUAUGCUCCAGGAUAUAUUGAUGCAUAAACGUGCA
RNAcentral lists this unclassified non-coding RNA (602 nucleotides) under Hevea brasiliensis (rubber tree). The record is from RNAcentral. Lineage: Eukaryota; Viridiplantae; Streptophyta; Magnoliopsida; Malpighiales; Euphorbiaceae.